Molecule: ribosomal RNA, 568 nt
Filed under: Lodderomyces parapsilosis
Lineage: Eukaryota; Fungi; Ascomycota; Pichiomycetes; Serinales; Debaryomycetaceae
Description: eukaryotic LSU rRNA
Rfam family: Eukaryotic large subunit ribosomal RNA
Source: RNAcentral
AUGCUUAGUAGCGGCGAGUGAGCGGCAAAAGCUCAAAUUUGAAAUCUGGCACUUUCAGUGUCCGAGUUGUAAUUUGAAGAAGGUAUCUUUGGGUCUGGCUCUUGUCUAUGUUUCUUGGAACAGAACGUCACAGAGGGUGAGAAUCCCGUGCGAUGAGAUGUCCCAGACCUAUGUAAAGUUCCUUCGAAGAGUCGAGUUGUUUGGGAAUGCAGCUCUAAGUGGGUGGUAAAUUCCAUCUAAAGCUAAAUAUUGGCGAGAGACCGAUAGCGAACAAGUACAGUGAUGGAAAGAUGAAAAGAACUUUGAAAAGAGAGUGAAAAAGUACGUGAAAUUGUUGAAAGGGAAGGGCUUGAGAUCAGACUUGGUAUUUUGUAUGUUACUCUCUCGGGGGUGGCCUCUACAGUUUACCGGGCCAGCAUCAGUUUGAGCGGUAGGAUAAGUGCAAAGAAAUGUGGCACUGCUUCGGUAGUGUGUUAUAGUCUUUGUCGAUACUGCCAGCUUAGACUGAGGACUGCGGCUUCGGCCUAGGAUGUUGGCAUAAUGAUCUUAAGUCGCCCGUCUUGACCCC